GGAGAGGUCGCAUAGUUGGUCUAGUGCGUUCGCUUGGAAAGCGGAUAUCGUCGUAAGGCGAUCGCGGGUUCGAAUCCCGCCCUCUCCG
Molecule: transfer RNA, 88 nt
Filed under: Candidatus Gottesmanbacteria bacterium RIFCSPLOWO2_01_FULL_46_21
Lineage: Bacteria; Candidatus Gottesmaniibacteriota
Description: tRNA-Ser
Rfam family: tRNA
About the family: Transfer RNA (tRNA) molecules are approximately 80 nucleotides in length. Their secondary structure includes four short double-helical elements and three loops (D, anti-codon, and T loops).
Source: RNAcentral